GAGAAGGGAAGUAGCAUACUUUGUUCUAUUUUUUACUCUCAAUGGGCUACGUUUCCAUUGUGUUGGUUUCCCUUACAGAAAGUAACACACACAGAAGAGAAGGUUAUAGGAUUCCAUGCUGCUUGGCAAAGGCACAAAAUAUGUGCACAUAUUUACAUGGAAUAUGAGGGUAAACUAGAAAAUUAAGGGUAAUCUAAAAUAGAAAAAAAGAAGAAAACAAUAAGUUAAAAGUAUGAAAAGACAUCCAGAAUGAGCAAGUUACUGAGGUUGUGCCUCAACUUUAGCUUGAGUUUCCUGGCAGCAAAGGUAAAAAGGUGAUCUUACAGCUGGAAAAUCAGUGGGUGAAAACGGAGAUACAGCAACUCUCCUCCAAGGUAUGCCUCGGAGAGAAGCAUUUUAAAUCUUCUGAAACGAGAUGCAGACAGACAAAACGAAACAGGACAAAGACGUCACUGAGGGCACUGCCAACACUUCUGGAGCUUGUCCUGAAGAGCCAUUCGUGUGCUUGGACUGAUCUCCCGUCUUGUGCUCUUGGCAUUGGUGCAGGAUCCUGCAUGUACAUUUGCAGGUGCGAGCUUGUGCACGCGAACAUGUGUGCUGCUUCCUCUCACGAACCCAGCAGCAUAGCAGCAGCCAGAGACGCCCCAGAGUGAUGACAACUAAUUAUGAAACACCAGUCUGAUCUGUCCCUUUUAUCUCAUCUUGCAGAAGCCUUGCAUUCCCCC
RNAcentral lists this long non-coding RNA (725 nucleotides) under Homo sapiens (human). RNAcentral describes it as "non-protein coding lnc-PRPF18-7:2". Lineage: Eukaryota; Metazoa; Chordata; Mammalia; Primates; Hominidae. The record is from RNAcentral.